ACACGUAGGGCGCAAGCGUUGUCCGGAUUUAUUGGGCGUAAAGAGCUCGUAGGCGGUUUGGUUAGUCGGGUGUGAAAGCUCAGGGCUUAACCCUGAGAUGCCACUCGAUACUGCCAUGACUUGAGUCCGGUAGAGGAGCAUGGAAUUCCUGGUGUAGCGGUGAAAUGCGCAGAUAUCAGGAGGAACACCAGUAGCGAAGGCGGUGCUCUGGGCCGGUACUGACGCUAAGGAGCGAAAGCGUGGGGAGCAAACAGGAUUAGAAACCCCAGUAGUCC
RNAcentral lists this ribosomal RNA (275 nucleotides) under uncultured bacterium. RNAcentral's name for it is "partial 16S ribosomal RNA". It matches the Rfam family "Bacterial small subunit ribosomal RNA", at positions 523 to 796 of the family's 1533-position model. The record is from RNAcentral.